CCGCAAAAAUAUCUCCCAAAUUCCCCAACGCCCCACGACUUGGCAACCCUAAUCAGCUUCCCCCACCAAUUCUCGAUUCCCCGUCGCCGAGCUCCCCCUCCCAACCCUAGCGCCAGAUCCGCUCGCUCGCCCGCGCAGCCAUGGCGGAGUCCCUCGACAUGUCCCUCGAGGACAUCAUCAAGAGCAACAAGAAGGGCAACUCCUCGUCCGGCGGGGGUGGCCGCCGCCGCGAGGGCCGCCUUGGAUCUGCCGCCGCCGGCAGCGGCGCGGCCGCGGCCGCCGCCGGAGGCGUCCGCCCCAACAGGCGCGCCUUCAAGAGGUCGGGGAACAGGGCGGCGCCCUACCAGCCGCCGAAGGCCCCGGAAUCGGCGUGGCAGCACGACAUGUACUCUGACGCCUCUGCCAGAGGCGGCGGCGGCGGGAGGGUCUCUGCUAUCGAGACCGGCACCAAGCUCCUCAUCACCAAUUUGGACUUCGGCGUCUCAACCGAGGACCUCAAGGAGCUUUUCUCCGAGCUGGGUGAUGUGAAGCGAUGCUUGAUUCACUAUGACCGAAGUGGGAGGUCUAAGGGAACAGCUGAGGUUAUAUUUGCAAGGCGUGGUGAUGCUGUUGCAGCGCUGAGGAAAUACAACAAUGUCCAACUUGAUGGCAAGCCUAUGAAAAUAGAGAUACUUGGGACUAACACUCCUACUGCUCCAGCUGCACUACCAACCAAUAAUGGAACCUAUGCUAGGAAUGUUGCUAAGAGUGCACCAAGGGGUGUCUCAGCUAGUUUGCCACAGAACAGACCCCGUGCAAGGGGUGGGAGGGGUCGUCGUGGUGGUGGCGGAGGCAGUGGAUCUGGCGGUCGUCGUGGGAAAGAGCGUAGCCAGCCAAGGUCUGCUGAAGAACUUGAUGCUGAGUUGGAGAAGUACCAUGCACAGGGUACGACGCCGAUGCAGACCACCGAAUAAAUCGACAUCUUUGCAGCGUUGAUAUUCAACAUGAAAUUUGAAGGGUGCCCCUUUGUUCCCGCUUUUUGUGCUACUAUAUGUUCAAGGGACAACAAAACCUUUUACUUGUCAGGUUCUUGGCUUACUGAAUUGUAUGGGUUAUGUGUCUACAUAGAACUAGAGUUGAGUGGAUACCGGUGAACACUACUGUUAUGAACAUUACUUGAUUGCCUUUAGUUUCUGCCUUCCUUGAGGAGCGCAAGGACUAAGGACCACCCAAGUUGCUCCGCAUGUGAAAGUUAUUGAAGAUGUAUGAGGUGCUCACAUUCCUUUGCCGCCCAUCUAGAGGCUGAAAUUCAGAUGUGUCAUGGUGAUCAAGCUAAACCCUUAUUUUGGGUGGUCUUUGGGCGUUGUUUCCCCGCUGAACGAUCUUUUAAGCUUCAGCCAUCUUUAGUAAGAGGUGGUUGCUACUCUUGUGUUAUUAUGCUAGCAUUGCUUUAUUCUCUUGCCCAUAGCAAAGCUACAUGCCAGCUGGAGAGAUUGUGUGAUCUUCCUUCGCCAGGUGCUCAACAAGUUGCCUGGUAUGGUUAUUGUGGCUUUGCUAAUUGUGCUUCUUCCUAAUCAAGGUGCAAAUCUAGCAAUAUUCUCUUCAUGUACCGAGUCACAUGCCAGCUGGAAGUUUUGCGUGAUCUUCCUUCUUCAGGGGUCAAUAAAGUGUCUGAUACGAGUAUGGUGGAUUCGCUAGUUGGGGUUCUUUACUGAAGAAGCAUUAAGGUGCAAAUCUUGCUUUGCGAUCUGCUAACAGUUGAGGGUUGUCAAUUGGUUUGGUGGUACACAGAUUUUCCAUUCUUUGGACGCCCCUUUGGCCCCCUUGCAGCCAACUAGGCUCGAAAUAUUAUUUGGAACCCAACUAAUCUGGCUGAUCUAUUCAACUAUAUCUUUGUUCCUUGCCGGGGAUCUGAAGCGUAGGUUCGAAUUUUGCUGUUGGGUUGCAUGAUUGCAGAUGAAUGUUGGCUUGAAGUUGGCCAAAUCAGCUUAGAAUUUUCGGUGGCAUGAUAAACCACUGAAGUACCGAGUUGCUUGUUUUAGUUUUUCUCUAUUCCAAUGUGGUAAGUGUUGCAUUGGUAGACGUUCCGUUGUUUUAGUAUUGUUUUGUUGCUUCUUUUGUUUGGAACUGCCAUAUACUAGAUUGUGCUGUGUUGGAUUUUAUGCUUCCGAGGAAAUGGCAUUUCGCUAUGGUUCCUUUUUUGCCAUAAAGGAUUAUGCAUGUUAGGAAAUAUUUUAUAUACAAUGUGGCUUCUAUCUGCGUUUUGUGGUUGAAGAGGUUUUUAUUUAGUGAGAACCUGAACGAAACUGCUGUACGGACGGUAGUCGACAGCCGAACUAUUCAAUGGUGGUGUUCACUUUUGCUCCCUGCAUCGAUGGCCUGAUGUGUGACUCGUAGGCUUUGUAGCAGCGUUCGAACCUGAACGCUGUUGCAGAUUGCAAGUAGCACGACUGUGCCCAGGUGAAACUACCAAU
Molecule: ribosomal RNA, 2453 nt
Filed under: Triticum aestivum (bread wheat)
Lineage: Eukaryota; Viridiplantae; Streptophyta; Magnoliopsida; Poales; Poaceae
Description: partial small subunit ribosomal RNA
Source: RNAcentral